UGAAUACGAGAUGCUACGGCGUCGAAGCAGUCUAUGUCAUACUUCCAAGAAAAGCUCGCACUGUCAUAAACAAAUAAUGCCUGUACCAUAACCGACACAGGUGGGUAGGUAGAGUAUACUAAUGGGCGCGAGAUAACUCUCUCUAAGGAACUCGGCAAAAUGACUCCGUAACUUCGGGAGAAGGAGUGCCUUAUUUAUAAGGUUGCAAUAACAAGAUCCAAGCAACUGUUUAUCAAAAACACAGGUCUCCGCUAAGUCGUAAGACGAUGUAUGGGGGCUGACGCCUGCCCAGUGCCAGAAGGUUAAAGAAGUUGGUUAGCAUUCGCGAAGCUGAUAACUGAAGCCCUGGUGAACGGCGGCCGUAACAAUAACGGUCCUAAGGUAGCGAAAUUCCUUGUCGGGUAAGUUCCGACCCGCACGAAAGGCGUAAUGAUUUGGAUACUGUCUCGGAGAGGGGCUCGGUGAAAUAGACUUGUCUGUGAAGAUGCGGACUACCUGCACCAGGACAGAAAGACCCUAUGAAGCUUUACUGUAACUUGAGAUUGAAAUUGGACUUUACUUGCGCAGUAUAGGUGGGAGGCGUUGAUAAUAUUCUUGCGGGAUUAUUUGAGCCAUCAGUGAGAUACCACUCUUGUAAUGUUAGAUUUCUAACUUUGUAUCAUUAUCUGGUCAAAGGACAGUUUCAGGCGGGCAGUUUGACUGGGGCGGUCGCCUCCUAAACGGUAACGGAGGCGCACAAAGGUUUCCUCUGAACGGGUAGAAAUCGUAUCUAGAGUGUAAAGGCAUAAGGAAGCUUGACUGUGAGACCUACAAGUCGAGCAGGGACGAAAGUCGGUCUUAGUGAUCUGACGGUGCUGAGUGGAAAGGCCGUCACUCAACGGAUAAAAGUUACUCUAGGAUAACAGGCUGAUCUCCCCCAAGAGUUCACAUCGACGGGGAGGUUUGGCACCUCGAUGUCGGCUCAUCGCAUCCUGGGGCGGUAGUACGUCCCAAGGGUUGGGCUGUUCGCCCAUGAAAGCGGUACGCGAGCUGGGUUCAGAACGUCGUGAGACAGUUCGGUCCAUAUCCGGUGUAGGCGUUAGAAUAUUGAGAGGAGCCUUCUUUAGUACGAGAGGACCGAGAAGGACAUACCUCUGGUGUACCAGUUAUCGUGCCAACGGUAAACGCUGGGUAGCUAUGUAUGGAGUGGAUAACCGCUGAAAGCAUCUAAGUGGGAAGCCCACCUCAAGAUAAGUAUUCUC
Molecule: ribosomal RNA, 1241 nt
Filed under: metagenome
Description: bacterial LSU rRNA
Rfam family: Bacterial large subunit ribosomal RNA
Source: RNAcentral